UUGAAGACAAAAAAACAAUGGUUUUGCAAUGAUGGAAAACAUGAAAGGGUUAAAGACGUAAAUAACCCAUCAAUGUUUAAAACCCAUUUUAAAACCUAAUUAAAACCCCAUUUCAUUUUUAGCAACAGCAGCCACAAGGGCUGCUUCAUCUUCUCCUUUGCUCCUCACACCGAAAUCAAGCAACAAUGUCAACGGCGCACCUCUUCUGGAAGAACGUGCUGGAGUUGCUGCGACGUGAGACGGUAACCACGACGUGGGGUGUGCAGCCGCGGCGCUGAGGCAUGAAAGUUGCCUAGGGUUUCUUUUGUUGAAAAUUGUUAGGGCUGGGUAUUGGGCAAAUGUUGAACUAUUGUGUUUUGGGCCAUUUUUUGGGUUUAAAAGUAUUUGGGAUGAGUGUUGUAUUUGGGUUUGUAUUAAGUUUGGGCCCCGGGCACCAAUUGGGUAUUACAUACAUAUAUAUAUAUAUAUUUCAAAAGAUAAAUAAAGUAGAUAAUAUAUAUUUAAGUGAUA
Long non-coding RNA from Gossypium raimondii (Peruvian cotton), 510 nucleotides. RefSeq lists it as uncharacterized. Lineage: Eukaryota; Viridiplantae; Streptophyta; Magnoliopsida; Malvales; Malvaceae. The record is from RefSeq and is a predicted model, not a curated record. The transcript is spliced from 2 exons.